UACAGAGGUCUCAAGCGUUGUUCGGAUUCAUUGGGCGUAAAGGGUGUGUAGGUGGCGCCGUAAGUCGAGUGUGAAAGCCCCGGGCUUAACUUGGGAAUUGCGCUCGAAACUACGUGGCUGGAGUGUGGCAGAGGAAGGUGGAAUUCCACGUGUAGCGGUGAAAUGCGUAGAGAUGUGGAGGAACACCAAUGGCGAAGGCAGCCUUCUGGGCCAACACUGACGCUCAUGCACGAAAGCGUGGGGAGCAAACAGG
This 253-nucleotide ribosomal RNA is filed under the name uncultured bacterium. Its description in RNAcentral is "partial 16S ribosomal RNA". It matches the Rfam family "Bacterial small subunit ribosomal RNA", at positions 524 to 776 of the family's 1533-position model. The record is from RNAcentral.